RNAcentral lists this ribosomal RNA (305 nucleotides) under uncultured bacterium. Its description in RNAcentral is "bacterial SSU rRNA". It matches the Rfam family "Bacterial small subunit ribosomal RNA", at positions 338 to 661 of the family's 1533-position model. The record is from RNAcentral.
CCUACGGGAGGCAGCAGUGGGGGAUAUUGCACAAUGGGGGGAACCCUGAUGCAGCGACGCCGCGUGGGUGAAGAAGCGCCUCGGCGCGUAAAGCCCUGUCAGCAGGGAAGAAAAUGACGGUACCUGAAGAAGAAGCAUCGGCUAACUCCGUGCCAGCAGCCGCGGUAAUACGGAGGAUGCGAGCGUUAUCCGGAUUUAUUGGGUUUAAAGGGUGCGCAGGCGGCGUGUCAAGUCAGCGGUAAAAUGUCGGGGCUCAACCCCGGCCGGCCGUUGAAACUGGCGUGCUCGAGUUGGAGAGAAGUAGG